RNAcentral lists this ribosomal RNA (156 nucleotides) under Fusarium sp. 31-2C. RNAcentral describes it as "5.8S ribosomal RNA". It matches the Rfam family "5.8S ribosomal RNA". Rfam says of the family: 5.8S ribosomal RNA (5.8S rRNA) is a component of the large subunit of the eukaryotic ribosome. It is transcribed by RNA polymerase I as part of the 45S precursor that also contains 18S and 28S rRNA. Functionally, it is thought that 5.8S rRNA may be involved in ribosome translocation. Lineage: Eukaryota; Fungi; Ascomycota; Sordariomycetes; Hypocreales; Nectriaceae. The record is from RNAcentral.
AACGGAUCUCUUGGCUCUGGCAUCGAUGAAGAACGCAGCGAAAUGCGAUAAGUAAUGUGAAUUGCAGAAUUCAGUGAAUCAUCGAAUCUUUGAACGCACAUUGCGCCCGCCAGUAUUCUGGCGGGCAUGCCUGUUCGAGCGUCAUUACAACCCUCA